Long non-coding RNA from Ipomoea nil (Japanese morning glory), 99 nucleotides. RefSeq lists it as uncharacterized. NCBI's taxonomy places the organism in Eukaryota, Viridiplantae, Streptophyta, Magnoliopsida, Solanales, Convolvulaceae. The transcript has 3 exons. The record is from RefSeq and is a predicted model, not a curated record.
GAAGGGUUUGAGUACAAGGACUCACGCUGGCACUCACGGUGUGAGUGUCAGCGUGAGUUCAGUGAUUAGAAUCUGAUCAGCACACUCAGCGUGAGUCUC